RNAcentral lists this ribosomal RNA (380 nucleotides) under uncultured archaeon. Its description in RNAcentral is "bacterial SSU rRNA". It matches the Rfam family "Archaeal small subunit ribosomal RNA", at positions 473 to 853 of the family's 1478-position model. The record is from RNAcentral.
GUACCAGCUCUCCGAGUGGUGUGGAUGUUUAUUGGGCCUAAAGCAUCCGUAGCUGGCUGGGCAAGUCCCCUGUUAAAUCCACUGAUUUAAUCAUUGGUGUGCGGGGGAUACUGCUCGGCUAGGGGACGGGAGAGGCAGACGGUAUUUCCGGGGUAGGGGUGAAAUCCUAUAAUCCCGGGAAGACCACCAGUGGCGAAGGCUGUCUGCUAGAACGCGCCCGACGGUGAGGGAUGAAAGGUGGGGGAGCGAACCGGAUUAGAUACCCGGGUAGUCCCAGCUGUAAACGAUGCAGGCUAGGUGUUUGGACGGCCACGUGCCGUUCUAGUGCCGCAGGGAAGCCGUUAAGCCUGCCGCCUGGGGAGUACGGCCGCAAGGCUGAA